RNAcentral lists this ribosomal RNA (509 nucleotides) under uncultured bacterium. Its description in RNAcentral is "partial 16S ribosomal RNA". It matches the Rfam family "Bacterial small subunit ribosomal RNA", at positions 28 to 523 of the family's 1533-position model. The record is from RNAcentral.
GACGAACGCUGGCGGCGUGCUUAACACAUGCAAGUGGUGCGACGAACCAGGCUUCGGCCUGGGGCAGAGCCGCGAACGGGUGAGUAACACGUGGGCAACCUGCCCUGUUGAUCGGGGCAACCCGGGGAAACCCGGGCUAAUACCGAAUGUGGUGCCGGCUCAUGAGAGCCGUCACGCAAGGAAGCUUCGGCCUCCGCGACAGGCGAGGCCCGCGGCCCAUUAGCUUGUUGGUGGGGUAAUGGCCUACCAAGGCAACGAUGGGUAGCUGGUCUGAGAGGACGAUCAGCCACACUGGGACUGAGACACGGCCCAGACUCCUACGGGAGGCUGCAGUGGGGAAUCUUGCGCAAUGAGCGACAGCUUGACGCAGCAACGCCGCGUGGGGGAAGAAGGCUUUCGGGUCGUAAACCCCUUUCAGUUAGGACGAAGCUUUAUUGGUUAAUAACCAAUUGGAGUGACGGUACUUUCAGAAGAAGCCCCGGCUAACUACGUGCCAGCAGCCGCGGUAA